This 454-nucleotide ribosomal RNA is filed under the name uncultured bacterium. RNAcentral's name for it is "partial 16S ribosomal RNA". It matches the Rfam family "Bacterial small subunit ribosomal RNA", at positions 28 to 507 of the family's 1533-position model. The record is from RNAcentral.
GAUGAACGCUGACAGAAUGCUUAACACAUGCAAGUCUACUUGAACUUCGGUUUGGGUGGCGGACGGGUGAGUAACGCGUAAAGAACUUGCCUCACAGAUAGGGACAACAUUUGGAAACGAAUGCUAAUACCUGAUAUUAUGAUUUUAAGGCAUCCUAGAAUUAUGAAAGCUAUAUGCACUGUGAGAGAGCUUUGCGUCCCAUUAGCUAGUUGGAGAGGUAACGGCUCACCAAGGCGAUGAUGGGUAGCCGGCCUGAGAGGGUGAUCGGCCACAAGGGGACUGAGACACGGCCCUUACUCCUAUGGGAGGCAGCAGUGGGGAAUAUUGGACAAUGGACCAAGAGUCUGAUCCAGCAAUUCUGUGUGCACGAUGAAGUUUUUCGGAAUGUAAAGUGCUUUCAGUUGGGAAGAAAAAAAUGACGGUACCAACAGAAGAAGUGACGGCUAAAUACGUG